This 492-nucleotide ribosomal RNA is filed under the name uncultured bacterium. Its description in RNAcentral is "partial 16S ribosomal RNA". It matches the Rfam family "Bacterial small subunit ribosomal RNA", at positions 29 to 507 of the family's 1533-position model. The record is from RNAcentral.
AGUGAACGCUGGCGGUAGGCCUAACACAUGCAAGUCGAACGGCAGCACAGUAAGAGCUUGCUCUUACGGGUGGCGAGUGGCGGACGGGUGAGGAAUACAUCGGAAUCUACUUUUUCGUGGGGGAUAACGUAGGGAAACUUACGCUAAUACCGCAUACGACCUACGGGUGAAAGCAGGGGAUCUUCGGACCUUGCGCGAUUGAAUGAGCCGAUGUCGGAUCAGCUAGUUGGCGGGGUAAAGGCCCACCAAGGCGACGAUCCGUAGCUGGUCUGAGAGGUUGAUCAGCCACACUGGAACUGAGACACGGUCCAGACUCCUACGGGAGGCAGCAGUGGGGAAUAUUGGACAAUGGGCGCAAGCCUGAUCCAGCCAUACCGCGUGGGUGAAGAAGGCCUUCGGGUUGUAAAGCCCUUUUGUUGGGAAAGAAAAGCAGCAGGUUAAUACCCCGCUGUUCUGACGGUACCCAAAGAAUAAGCACCGGCUAACUUCGUG